RNAcentral lists this ribosomal RNA (1062 nucleotides) under Triticum aestivum (bread wheat). RNAcentral's name for it is "partial small subunit ribosomal RNA". Lineage: Eukaryota; Viridiplantae; Streptophyta; Magnoliopsida; Poales; Poaceae. The record is from RNAcentral.
AUGCGCAUCGGCGGCCACCGUGUGCGCACAGCCAAGGCCCAGUCGCUGGCGCGAGACUUCGAGACUAUCGAUUUUCGCGUCGGGGAGACCGUGGACGAUUUUGCGAUGCGGCUCGGCUCCAUGGUCACCAACCUGAAUAUCCUUGGCGACAAGGUCACCGAGGAGAAGGCGGUAAGGAAGUUCUUGCAUGUAGUGCCUCCACGGUACUCGCACAUUGCCCUGUCCAUUGAAACACUUGUUGAUCUCGAUACAUUGAGCAUUGAGGAUCUGACAGGCCGCCUCAAAGCGGCCGAGGAGAGGUUUGAUCACGGCGGCUCAGGGCAGGCCGGCGGAAACCUGCUGUUCACCGAGGAGCAAUGGCUGGCACGCUACAAGCAGCGCGAGCAGGGCGAGGGAUCACCGUGUGGUGGUGGUCGUGGCAGCGGCCGCGGUGGCGGUCGCGGCCGCGGCCGUGGCAGAGGACGUGGCGGAAAGGGCAGGGACAGCACACCCGGAGAUGGCGCGCCCGGCGGUGGCCGAGGGGCGUCGGGCGGCGGCUCUCGCUUCAAGGGAAACUGCCACAACUGCGGCAUUCAGGGCCACAUGGCUCGGGAUUGCACCAAGCCCAAGCAGCAGCGCAAGGAAGAGGCCAACCUCAACCAGGCACAGGAGGAUCAGCCUGCGCUGCUCAUGGUGGUGAGUUGCGGACUCGCCCAAAUCCACAUCGAGCUGGCGCGUGAGCGCGUCUUCCUCAACGAGAAGAGCGUGAUCCCGGUGCAGACGGCGUGCAACGCCUGGUACCUGGACACGGGCGCGAGCAAUCACAUGACAGGCGAACGGGCCGUGUUCUCCGCGCUCGAUGAGACGGUGACUGGCAUGGUCAGGUUCGGCGAUGGCUCGUCAGUUGAUAUCCGUGGGCGUGGAACGGUGGUGUUUAACUGCAAGAACAAGUCACACCGUGCACUGACGGGGGUGUACUACAUACCCCAGCUGAAGAGCAGCAUUGUGAGCAUCGGGAAAAUCGACGAGGUGGGCUGCAAGACGGUGUUCGAAGACGGCGUGAUGAGCAUCUUCGACCAGUAG